Molecule: ribosomal RNA, 850 nt
Filed under: Mycobacterium tuberculosis
Lineage: Bacteria; Bacillati; Actinomycetota; Actinomycetes; Mycobacteriales; Mycobacteriaceae
Description: partial 23S ribosomal RNA
Rfam family: Bacterial large subunit ribosomal RNA
Source: RNAcentral
CGGAAAGACCCCGUGGAGCUUUACUGUAGCCUGAUAGUGAAUUUUGGUACAGCUUGUACAGGAUAGGUAGGAGCCUUAGAAGCCGGAGCGCUAGCUUCGGUGGAGGCGUCGGUGGGAUACUACCCUGGCUGUAUUGAAAUUCUAACCCACAUCCCUUAUCGGGAUGGGAGACAGUGUCAGGUGGGCAGUUUGACUGGGGCGGUCGCCUCCUAAAGAGUAACGGAGGCGCCCAAAGGUUCCCUCAGAAUGGUUGGAAAUCAUUCGUAGAGUGUAAAGGCACAAGGGAGCUUGACUGCGAGACCUACAAGUCGAGCAGGGACGAAAGUCGGGCUUAGUGAUCCGGUGGUUCCGCAUGGAAGGGCCAUCGCUCAACGGAUAAAAGGUACUCCGGGGAUAACAGGCUGAUACCGCCCAAGAGUUCAUAUCGACGGCGGUGUUUGGCACCUCGAUGUCGGCUCAUCACAUCCUGGGGCUGAAGUAGGUCCCAAGGGUAUGGCUGUUCGCCAUUUAAAGUGGUACGCGAGCUGGGUUUAGAACGUCGUGAGACAGUUCGGUCCCUAUCUGCCGUGGGCGCUGGAGAAUUGAGGGGGGCUGCUCCUAGUACGAGAGGACCGGAGUGGACGCAUCACUGGUGUUCGGGUUGUCAUGCCAAUGGCACUGCCCGGUAGCUAAAUGCGGAAGAGAUAAGUGCUGAAAGCAUCUAAGCACGAAACUUGCCCCGAGAUGAGUUCUCCCUGAGACUUUAAGUCUCCUGAAGGAACGUUAAAGACGAUGACGUUGAUAGGCCGGGUGUGUAAGCGCAGCGAUGCGUUGAGCUAACCGGUACUAAUGAACCGUGAGGCUUAACCUU